AGAAGGCCAGAAGGAGUUGCAUUGCGUCUUUGUGGACAUGAAGAAAGCAGAUGACAGGGUGAGGAGACAGGAGCUGUGGUAUUGUAUGAGGAAGUCAGGAGUGGCAGAGAAGUACAUAAGAGUUGUACAGGAUAUGUACGAGGGAAGUGUGACAGUGGUGAGGUCUGCAGUAGGAGUGACGGAGGUGAGAUUACAUCAGGGAUCGGCUCUGAGCCCUUUCUUAUUUGCAAUGGUGAUGGACAGGUUGACAGACGAGAUUAGACAGGAGUCCCCAUGGACUGUGAUGUUUGCUGAUGACAUUGUGAUCUGUAGCGAGAGUAGGGAGCAGGUUGAGGAGACCCUGGAGAGGUGGAGAUCUGCUCUAGAGAGGAGAGGAGUGAAGGUCAGUAGGAACAAGAGAGAAUACAUGUGUGUGAAUGAGAGGAAGGUCAGAGGAAUGGUGAGGAUGAAGGGAGUAGAGUUAGCAAAGGUGGAUGAGUUUAAAUAUUUGGGAUCAACAGUACAGAGUAAUGGUAGGUGUGGAAGAGAAGUGAAGAAGAGAGUGCAGGCAGGGUGGAAAGGGUGGAGAAGAGUUUCAGGUGAGAUUUGUGACAGACGGGUAUCAGCGAGAGUGAAAGGGAAGGUCUACAGGACGGUAGUGAGACCAGCUAUGUUAUAUGGGCUGGAGAUGAUGGCACUGACCAGAAAGCAGGAGACAGAGCUGGAGGUGGCAGAGUUAAAGAUAAUAAGAUUUGCACUGGGUGUGACGAGGAUGGAUAGGAUUAGAAAUAAGGACAUUAGGGGUCAGCUCAGGUUGUACAGUUUGGAGACAAAGUCAGAGAGGCGAGAUUGCAUUGGUUUGGACAUGUGCAGAGGAGAGAUGCUGAGUAUAUUGGAAGAAGGGUGCUAAGGAUAGAGCUGCCAGACAAAAGGAAAAGAGGAAGGCCUAAGAGAAGGUUUAUGGAUGUGGAGAGAGGGGACAUGCAGGUGAUGGGUGUGACAGAGCAAGAUGACGAGGACAGGAAGAGAUGGAAAAAGAUGAUCCGCUGUGGCAACCCCUAAUGGGAG
This is a long non-coding RNA of Erpetoichthys calabaricus (reedfish), 1047 nucleotides long. RefSeq lists it as uncharacterized. The record is from RefSeq and is a predicted model, not a curated record. The transcript is spliced from 2 exons. Lineage: Eukaryota; Metazoa; Chordata; Cladistia; Polypteriformes; Polypteridae.